This 472-nucleotide ribosomal RNA is filed under the name uncultured bacterium. RNAcentral describes it as "bacterial SSU rRNA". It matches the Rfam family "Bacterial small subunit ribosomal RNA", at positions 335 to 799 of the family's 1533-position model. The record is from RNAcentral.
ACUCUACGGGAGGCAGCAGUGGGGAAUAUUGCACAAUGGGGGAAACCCUGAUGCAGCCAUGCCGCGUGUGUGAAGAAGGCCUUCGGGUUGUAAAGCACUUUCAGUAGGGAGGAAGGUAGUGUAGUUAACACCUGCAUUAUUUGACGUUACCUACAGAAGAAGCACCGGCUAACUCCGUGCCAGCAGCCGCGGUAAUACGGAGGGUGCGAGCGUUAAUCGGAAUUACUGGGCGUAAAGCGCAUGCAGGUGGUUUGUUAAGUCAGAUGUGAAAGCCCGGGGCUCAACCUCGGAAUUGCAUUUGAAACUGGCAGACUAGAGUACUGUAGAGGGGGGUAGAAUUUCAGGUGUAGCGGUGAAAUGCGUAGAGAUCUGAAGGAAUACCGGUGGCGAAGGCGGCCCCCUGGACAGAUACUGACACUCAGAUGCGAAAGCGUGGGGAGCAAACAGGAUUAGAUACCCUGGUAGGAUAGCG